GAGUCAGCUAGGAGGAGGCCAGAGGGAAACAGUGGGGCUUUCGAAGCUUAUCAAAAGCAAACCUUGCUCUUUUGAAAAAGCAUUUUCCAACGCAACCUGGGGACAAAGUGGGGUUAAAUUUUACACAGAUUGCUUACGAGCAAGAGUUAAGUGGCUAACAAGUCAUGAAAUCUUACGGAGAAGCAGGUAAAGCCAAAAUUAAAAACUCCCUCCGAGUCAGCCCAUUCUGCGACCCACCUCCUCCCCUUUGCGGCAGGAACUCUACUCCAUCGAGGGGCUUUGCUGCAGUGGCACUGCCCACGCAUACUCAACUAAAAGACUCAGACCACGCCAGCCAUGCCACGAGCAAAGCGAGCUGAAUUCCUUCUUGUGGACCAUUAAGCGAGACCCACCAUCUUACUUCUUUGGCACAAUCCAUGUCCCGUACACCCGAGUUUGGGACUUCAUCCCCGACAACUCUAAGGAGGCUUUCCUGCAGAGCAGCAUUGUGUACUUUGAGUUGGAUCUCACAGACCCCUAUACCAUCUCAGCUCUCACCAGCUG
Molecule: long non-coding RNA, 543 nt
Filed under: Homo sapiens (human)
Lineage: Eukaryota; Metazoa; Chordata; Mammalia; Primates; Hominidae
Description: non-protein coding lnc-TRABD2A-2:1
Source: RNAcentral